RNAcentral lists this ribosomal RNA (643 nucleotides) under uncultured bacterium. Its description in RNAcentral is "bacterial SSU rRNA". It matches the Rfam family "Bacterial small subunit ribosomal RNA", at positions 232 to 885 of the family's 1533-position model. The record is from RNAcentral.
CGCGGCCUAUCAGCUUGUUGGUGGGGUAGUGGCUUACCAAGGCUUUGACGGGUAGCCGGCCUGAGAGGGUGACCGGCCACAUUGGGACUGAGAUACGGCCCAGACUCCUACGGGAGGCAGCAGUGGGGAAUAUUGCACAAUGGGCGGAAGCCUGAUGCAGCAACGCCGCGUGCGGGAUGACGGCCUUCGGGUUGUAAACCGCUUUCGCCUGUGACGAAGCGUGAGUGACGGUAAUGGGUAAAGAAGCACCGGCUAACUACGUGCCAGCAGCCGCGGUGAUACGUAGGGUGCGAGCGUUGUCCGGAUUUAUUGGGCGUAAAGGGCUCGUAGGCGGUUGAUCGCGUCGGAAGUGUAAUCUUGGGGCUUAACCCUGAGCGUGCUUUCGAUACGGGUUGACUUGAGGAAGGUAGGGGAGAAUGGAAUUCCUGGUGGAGCGGUGGAAUGCGCAGAUAUCAGGAGGAACACCAGUGGCGAAGGCGGUUCUCUGGGCCUUUCCUGACGCUGAGGAGCGAAAGCGUGGGGAGCGAACAGGCUUAGAUACCCUGGUAGUCCACGCUGCAAACGGUGGGUACUAGGUGUGGGGUCCAUUCCACGGGUUCCGUGCCGUAGCUAACGCUUUAAGUACCCCGCCUGGGGAGUACGG